Molecule: ribosomal RNA, 253 nt
Filed under: uncultured prokaryote
Description: partial 16S ribosomal RNA
Rfam family: Bacterial small subunit ribosomal RNA
Source: RNAcentral
UACGAAGGGUGCAAGCGUUAUUCGGAAUCAUUGGGCGUAAAGCGCGCGCGGGCGGAUUUGUAAGUCAGGUGUGAAAUCUCGGAGCUCAACUCCGAAACUGCGCCUGAAACUACAAGUCUAGAAUGUCGGAGGGGGCAGGGGAAUUUCACGUGUAGGGGUAAAAUCCGUAGAGAUGUGAAGGAACACCGGAGGCGAAGGCGCCUGCCUGGACGACUAUUGACGCUGAGGCGCGAAAGCGUGGGGAGCAAACAGG